AUGACCUCUGCAUGCAUCUCAACACUUGCGAUUUUCUUCACACUGAGUGGACCGAGAGCUCAGUCAGUGACUCAGCCAAAAGAUCAGAUCACUGUGGCCGAAGGAAAUCCACUGACUGUGAAAUGCACUUAUUCAUUUUCUGGGAGCCCUUAUCUCUUUUGGUACGUCCAAUAUCCGAACCAAGGUCUCCAGUUCCUUCUGAAAUACAUCACAGGGGACAGCCUGGUUAAAGGAAGCUACGGUUUUGAGGCUGAAUUUAAUAAGAGCCAAACCUCUUUCCACCUGAAGAAACCAUCUGUCCUCGGGAGUGACUCUGCUGUGUACUUCUGUGCUGGGAGUGACACAGUGGUGGGGGCUGCAGGGAGAGCUGAACACAAACCCCUGAGUACAUUGAAGGAACUAAGGCGCAGAGAAUUUAAGCAUCUCACUCAAGUCACAAAACUAUUCAAUGGCAAGUUGAAACCCAGGCAGUCUGCCUCUCAGGUACAUGUUCUAACCAUUCCACAUCCCUACCAGCCUAUCGGCUCCUUGAGGCAUGAGAUUGUGAUUUCAGCGAUGGUGUAA
Equus quagga is the source of this 564-nucleotide non-coding RNA. The record is from the annotation of a RefSeq genome assembly. NCBI's taxonomy places the organism in Eukaryota, Metazoa, Chordata, Mammalia, Perissodactyla, Equidae.